CGACAUUCCCUUAAACAAAGCGUACGAACGGGGAAAUUCAUGAAAACGGCAAAACAGACGAACAAAGCAGUUAUAAUCCAGACAGAUGGGUCUGUCACACACAGUAACUCGUGUAGGUGUGAUUUAUAGGCCCCCAGGACAAAUUGAAGAGUUAGAUAAUCAACUUGUUGAGGAAAUAGCUAAAAUGACAAUGAAGGGGGAAGUUAUCAUCAUGGGUGACUUUAAUCUUCCUGAUGUAAAUUGGAAAACAAAAUUAGCUACUUGUGCCUUGAGCACACAUAUUCUAAACAGGAUUGUAAGGGUAAGGGUUAUGUAAUAAGGUGAGUAUGGCUGGGAUUGUCUCUAAAACAAGUUGUUGAGGAG
Non-coding RNA from Pelobates cultripes (western spadefoot toad), 363 nucleotides. Lineage: Eukaryota; Metazoa; Chordata; Amphibia; Anura; Pelobatidae. The record is from the annotation of a GenBank genome assembly.